AAAAAAAAAAAUCCCCUCUGAACACCCUUCUCUCACACUCUUGCCAAUAUUCACCACACACAUUUAGUUAUUUUUCUAUUUUACUUUAAUGAUUCAAGUAUGAAAGCCUUCAAGAGUGUAGUUUCUAAGUGUUCUUGGAGCAUAAACAAGCCAUUUCAAGCCUCUUCCGUCCAUCCAUUUUAGCGUCUUACCUAGCUAGCCUAGUGGACGAGUUUUGAGUCGAUGUAUCCAUUUCGGGCUUUGGUUGCUAGCACUUGCAUAUACGCGUUUCAGGUUGCAUUUUCAUAACUAUGGAACGGUUGGAAUAGGAGAACCCAUGGGAAUUCGAGUACUUAGCG
This 338-nucleotide long non-coding RNA is filed under the name Helianthus annuus (common sunflower). Its description in RNAcentral is "hypothetical non coding rna". The record is from RNAcentral. Lineage: Eukaryota; Viridiplantae; Streptophyta; Magnoliopsida; Asterales; Asteraceae.